Non-coding RNA from Mycena galericulata, 94 nucleotides. The record is from the annotation of a GenBank genome assembly. NCBI's taxonomy places the organism in Eukaryota, Fungi, Basidiomycota, Agaricomycetes, Agaricales, Mycenaceae.
GUCCCAUUUGCACAGUGGUUGUGCUGCCGGUUAAUGUGUCACUUCUUGGGACUCUUGUCCCGGUGUUGGCCUGGUUCGAAUCCGGCAUGGGACU